UGGGGAAUAUUGCACAAUGGGCGAAAGCCUGAUGCAGCGACGCCGCGUGAGGGAUGGAGGCCCUCGGGUUGUAAACCUCUUUCAGUAAGGGUGAAGGCCCUCUUUUGUGGAGGGUUGUCAGUACUUGCAGAAGAAGCGCCGGCUAACUACGUGCUAGCAGCCGCGGUAAUACGUAGGGCGCGAGCGUUGUACGGUAUUAUUGGGCGUAAAGGGCUUGUAGGUGGCGUGUCGCGUCGGCUGUGAAAUUCCAGGGCUUAACUUUGGGAUUGCAGUGGGUACGGGCAUGCUAGAGUGCAGUAGGGGAGAUUGGAAUUCCUGGUGUGGCGGUGAAAUGCGCAGAUAUCAGGAGGAACACCGGUGGCGAAGGCGGGUCUCUGGGCUGAUACUGGCGCUGAGGAGCGAAAGCGUGGGGAGCGAACAGG
This 422-nucleotide ribosomal RNA is filed under the name Verrucomicrobiota bacterium. RNAcentral describes it as "Verrucomicrobia bacterium partial 16S ribosomal RNA". It matches the Rfam family "Bacterial small subunit ribosomal RNA", at positions 355 to 776 of the family's 1533-position model. Lineage: Bacteria; Pseudomonadati; Verrucomicrobiota. The record is from RNAcentral.